UAAAGGAAGCGAUUCCGGCUACGGAUGGUCAUGCGUCGCAUUAGCUAGUUGGCGGGGUAACGGCCCACCAAGGCGACGAUGCGUAGGGGUUCUGAGAGGAAGGUCCCCCACACUGGUACUGAGACACGGACCAGACUCCUACGGGAGGCAGCAGUGAGGAAUAUUGGUCAAUGGCCGCAGGGCUGAACCAGCCAAGUCGCGUGAGGGAUGACGGUCCUAUGGAUUGUAAACCUCUUUUGUCAGGGAGCAAAGGGCGCCACGUGUGGCGCUUUGCGAGUACCUGAAGAAAAAGCAUCGGCUAACUCCGUGCCAGCAGCCGCGGUAAUACGGAGGAUGCGAGCGUUAUCCGGAUUUAUUGGGUUUAAAGGGUGCGCAGGCGGAAUGUCAAGUCAGCGGUAAAAUUUCGGGGCUCAACCCCGUCGUGCCGUUGAAACUGGCGUUCUUGAGUGAGCGAGAAGUAUGCGGAAUGCGUGGUGUAGCGGUGAAAUGCAUAGAUAUCACGCAGAACCCCGAUUGCGAAGGCAGCAUACCGGCGCUCAACUGACGCUCAUGCACGAAAGCGUGGGUAUCGAACAGGAUUAGAUACCCUGGUAGUCCACGCAGUAAACGAUGAAUACUAACUGUCCGGGCAGAAUGAUGCCUGG
Molecule: ribosomal RNA, 644 nt
Filed under: uncultured bacterium
Lineage: Bacteria
Description: bacterial SSU rRNA
Rfam family: Bacterial small subunit ribosomal RNA
Source: RNAcentral